GGAACGAAAAGCCUCUUUCUAAUAAAGGGGGGUGAUGACGGUACCGUAAGAAUAAGCACCGGCUAACUACGUGCCAGCAGCCGCGGUAAUACGUAGGGUGCGAGCGUUAAUCGGAAUUACUGGGCGUAAAGCGUGCGCAGGCGGUUUUGCAAGACAGUGGUGAAAUCCCCGGGCUCAACCUGGGAACUGCCUUUGUGACUGCAAGGCUGGAGUACGGCAGAGGGGGAUGGAAUUCCGCGUGUAGCAGUGAAAUGCGUAGAUAUGCGGAGGAACACCGAUGGCGAAGGCAGUCCCCUGGGCCUGUACUGACGCUCAUGCACGAAAGCGUGGGGAGCAAACAGGAUUAGAUACCCUGGUAGUCCACGCCCUAAACGAUGUCAACUGGUUGUUGGGAAUUUAUUUCUUCAGUAACGAAGCUAACGCGUGAAGUUGACCGCCUGGGGAGUACGGCCGCAAGGUUAAAACUCAAAUGAAUUGACGG
Molecule: ribosomal RNA, 481 nt
Filed under: uncultured beta proteobacterium
Lineage: Bacteria; Pseudomonadati; Pseudomonadota; Betaproteobacteria
Description: bacterial SSU rRNA
Rfam family: Bacterial small subunit ribosomal RNA
Source: RNAcentral